GCAGGUGUAGUACAACGGUUAGUAUGCGACCUUGCCAAGGUUGAGAUGGCGGUUCGAUUCCGCUCACUUGCUCCA
RNAcentral lists this transfer RNA (75 nucleotides) under Bacillota bacterium. RNAcentral's name for it is "tRNA-Gly". It matches the Rfam family "tRNA". Rfam says of the family: Transfer RNA (tRNA) molecules are approximately 80 nucleotides in length. Their secondary structure includes four short double-helical elements and three loops (D, anti-codon, and T loops). Further hydrogen bonds mediate the characteristic L-shaped molecular structure. tRNAs have two regions of fundamental functional importance: the anti-codon, which is responsible for specific mRNA codon recognition, and the 3' end, to which the tRNAs corresponding amino acid is attached (by aminoacyl-tRNA synthetases). tRNAs cope with the degeneracy of the genetic code in two manners: having more than one tRNA (with a specific anti-codon) for a particular amino acid; and 'wobble' base-pairing, i.e. permitting non-standard base-pairing at the 3rd anti-codon position. RNAcentral also lists the same sequence under 2 other names. The record is from RNAcentral. Lineage: Bacteria; Bacillati; Bacillota.